Molecule: ribosomal RNA, 352 nt
Filed under: uncultured bacterium
Lineage: Bacteria
Description: bacterial SSU rRNA
Rfam family: Bacterial small subunit ribosomal RNA
Source: RNAcentral
AGAGUUUGAUCAUGGCUCAGGAUGAACGCUAGCUACAGGCUUAACACAUGCAAGUCGAGGGGAAACGACAUCGAAAGCUUGCUUUUGAUGGGCGUCGACCGGCGCACGGGUGAGUAACGCGUAUCCAACCUGCCCACCACUUGGGGAUAACCUUGCGAAAGUAAGACUAAUACCCAAUGACAUCUCUAGAAGACAUCUGAAGGAGAUUAAAGAUUUAUCGGUGAUGGAUGGGGAUGCGUCUGAUUAGCUUGUUGGCGGGGUAACGGCCCACCAAGGCGACGAUCAGGUAGGGGUUCUGAGAGGAAGGUCCCCCANAUUGGAACUGAGACACGGUCCAAACUCCUAGGGAGCA